This 380-nucleotide ribosomal RNA is filed under the name uncultured bacterium. RNAcentral's name for it is "bacterial SSU rRNA". It matches the Rfam family "Bacterial small subunit ribosomal RNA", at positions 42 to 450 of the family's 1533-position model. The record is from RNAcentral.
UCAGGCCUAACACAUGCAAGUCGAACGAAGGCUUCGGCCUUAGUGGCGCACGGGUGCGUAACGCGUGGGAAUCUGCCCCUAGGUACGGAAUAACAGCGAGAAAUUGCUGCUAAUACCGUAUGAUGACGUAAGUCCAAAGAUUUAUCGCCUAGGGAUGAGCCCGCGUAGGAUUAGCUUGUUGGUGAGGUAAAAGCUCACCAAGGCGACGAUCCUUAGCUGGUCUGAGAGGAUGAUCAGCCACACUGGGACUGAGACACGGCCCAGACUCCUACGGGAGGCAGCAGUGGGGAAUAUUGGACAAUGGGCGAAAGCCUGAUCCAGCAAUGCCGCGUGAGUGAUGAAGGCCUUAGGGUUGUAAAGCUCUUUUACCCGGGAAGAUA